RNAcentral lists this ribosomal RNA (608 nucleotides) under Sporobolomyces salmonicolor. Its description in RNAcentral is "eukaryotic LSU rRNA". It matches the Rfam family "Eukaryotic large subunit ribosomal RNA", at positions 37 to 656 of the family's 3401-position model. Lineage: Eukaryota; Fungi; Basidiomycota; Microbotryomycetes; Sporidiobolales; Sporidiobolaceae. The record is from RNAcentral.
UGCAUAUCAAAUAAGCGGAGGAAAAGAAACUAACAAGGAUUCCCCUAGUAGCGGCGAGCGAAGCGGGAAAAGCUCAAAUUUGUAAUCUGGCGCUUUCGGCGUCCGAGUUGUAAUCUCGAGAAGUGUUUUCCGCGUCAGACCGCACACAAGUCUCCUGGAACGGAGCGUCACAGUGGUGAGAACCCAGUACACGGUGCGGAUGCCUGAUGCUUUGUGAUACACUUUCGAAGAGUCGAGUUGUUUGGGAAUGCAGCUCAAAUUGGGUGGUAAAUUCCAUCUAAAGCUAAAUAUUGGCGAGAGACCGAUAGCGAACAAGUACCGUGAGGGAAAGAUGAAAAGCACUUUGGAAAGAGAGUUAACAGUACGUGAAAUUGUUGGAAGGGAAACGCUUGAAGUCAGACUUGCUAUUCGGAGCUUGCUUCGAUUCGCAGGCCCGCAUCAGUUUUCCGGGGCGGAAAAUCGUAAGGAGAAGGUAGCAGUUUCGGCUGUGUUAUAGCUCUUUACUGGAUUCGUCCUGGGGGACUGAGGAACGCAGCGUGCUUUUUGCAUGGGCUUCGGCCCAUCCACGCUUAGGAUGCGGGUGGAAUGGCUUUAAACGACCCGUCUUG